This 507-nucleotide ribosomal RNA is filed under the name uncultured bacterium. RNAcentral describes it as "bacterial SSU rRNA". It matches the Rfam family "Bacterial small subunit ribosomal RNA", at positions 21 to 518 of the family's 1533-position model. The record is from RNAcentral.
GGCUCAGAACGACGCUGGCGGCGCGUUUUAAGCAUGCAAGUCGAGCGGCAAGGGCCUUCGGGCCCCUAGAGCGGCGGACGGGUGAGUAACACGUGGACAAUCUGCCCCCCGGCCCGGGAUAGCCCAGGGAAACCUGGAUUAAUACCGGAUGAGACGGGACCCGCGAUGGCGGGAUCCGGGAAAGGCGCUGCGGCGCCGCCGGGGGAUGAGUCUGCGUCCCAUUAGCUAGACGGCGGGGUAACGGCCCACCGUGGCGACGAUGGGUAGCCGGCCUGAGAGGGUGGACGGCCACAUUGGAACUGAGACACGGUCCAGACUCCUACGGGAGGCAGCAGCUAAGAAUCUUCCGCAAUGGGCGAAAGCCUGACGGAAGCGACGCCGCGUGAACGAAGAAGGCCGUGAGGUUGUAAAGUUCUUUUCGGGAGGGGGAACAACCGUGGCAGGGAAUGGCCGCGGGAUGACGUGAAUCCCGGAAUAAGCCCCGGCUAACUACGUGCCAGCCGCGGC